Molecule: long non-coding RNA, 731 nt
Filed under: Theobroma cacao (cacao)
Lineage: Eukaryota; Viridiplantae; Streptophyta; Magnoliopsida; Malvales; Malvaceae
Description: long non-coding RNA (TCAC_LNC003241)
Source: RNAcentral
GACUGUCCUGAUCUUGGAAUGAGUGAAAAGGAGGGUGGUGAGAUUAUAUAAACUCAGUGAGUGAACAAAUAUCAUCUAAAAUAUCUAAAGUCGAGUAAAUGGAGACAAUUUAAAAUAGUUCAUCGUACUAUGAUUCAUAACGUUUCAAACUCAUUUCAACUAAAUAAAAUAAUUUCAUUUCACUCAAAUAAUCAACAUGGCUUAUGAAUUUCUUAAAAACUUGGCUCGUGCCAAAACUCAUUCUCGGGGAUACCUUGAUCAGAGGCAUCCAACCAAGUCCGCCAAGGCUGUUAAAGAAAAGACAUAUAUCCAUAAAUCAUAUUUGUACGUUUUAAAACAUAGCCAUUCCUUGGCAUUGGCUGAGUUCACCCUCACGUGGUGGUUUAGAGUAUAGUGAACUCUAAAGCUUUUCCUCAGGAGAUACCCUCCGUGCCUCUCGUACCGAGGUAAAAUAUAACCGAGUUUAACGUGUCCCUCUCUAAUAGGCUGGUCCACGGAAACCCACCACUGCAGUGACUAAUCAAUAUCCCACCAAAUCAAUAAAAGUUUCGACAGCAUGACAUGGCAAUUAUAUUACUACCCAGUUUGUUAAGGCAAAACAAACAAUUCAUACAAUUUCAACACAAUUUCCAAUUCAGCCAUUCAUGCCAAUAUCACCAUAAGCCAUUCAAUUCAAACCAUAAAUUUACAACACAAUCAAACAGUCUCCAAUUACUCAAUUUCUAAAAUCA